AAAGGAUAGGGAUAUUUUCUCUUUGGCUCUCCCUCCUCCACUCUCUAAUAGCUGUCCCUCAUCCUCCACAAUCUGAAUUGAGCUCUAUUUUCUCCUUCACCUCGGGAGCAUUUUCCAUGGCGAAAACCCUAAUUUCAUCUCCGUCGUUCAUCGGAACUCCUUUGCCGUCGUUCUCUCGCCAUGUCUUCCACCGGCGAAGGCUUAUUUCAACUAGAGUAAAAUUCAGCUUCCAUGAGCUUCCUCCGAUUCAAUCUCUUCACUCUUCGGUUGAUUUCAACGCUGUUAUUAGCCGAGCCGAAGGACUUCUCUAUACGUUAGCUGAUGCCGCUGUGGCUGCUGAUCCUGGUGUUGCCUCCGAUGCCACUGCUGCUACUCCUCAGAAAGCCGGUGGUUGGUUCGCUUUCAUUUCUGACGCUAUGGAAGUCGUUUUGAAGGUAAUGAAGGAUGGACUGGCAGCUGUGCAUGUGCCUUAUUCUUAUGGAUUUGCAAUCAUAUUGCUUACUGUCCUGGUUAAAGCUGUCACUUUCCCUUUGACAAAGCAACAGGUUGAAUCAACACUAGCAAUGCAAAAUCUCCAACCAAAGAUCAAAGCUAUUCAGCAACGAUAUGCUGGAAAUCAGGAAAGAAUCCAACUUGAGACUUCGCGUUUAUAUAAGCAGGCAGGGGUCAAUCCUCUUGCUGGAUGUUUCCCAACUUUGGCUACUAUACCAGUUUGGAUUGGUCUCUAUCAAGCUCUCUCUAAUGUGGCAAAUGAGGGAUUGCUGACUGAAGGUUUCUUUUGGAUUCCUUCUUUGGGAGGACCGACUACUAUAGCUGCUCGACAAAGUGGAUCUGGAGUUUCUUGGCUAUUCCCGUUUGUGGAUGGGCAUCCGCCUUUGGGUUGGCAUGACACAGUGGCUUACCUUGUUUUGCCUGUCCUGCUAAUUGUUUCGCAAUAUGUUUCAAUGGAGAUAAUGAAACCUCCCCAAACAGAUGAUCCAACUCAAAAGAACACGCUUCUGGUUUUCAAGUUCCUUCCGCUCAUGAUUGGCUAUUUCUCUUUGUCUGUUCCUUCAGGGUUAACAAUUUACUGGUUCACAAAUAAUGUGCUGACCACGGCACAGCAAGUAUGGUUGCGCAAGUUAGGUGGUGCAACGCCUGUUGUGAGUGGAGAUGCCAGUGGUAUCAUCAGCGCUGGACGUGCAAAAAGAACUACCUCUCAGUCUGAGCAAGCUGGAGAGAGAUUCAGGCAGCUAAAAGAAGGUGAAAAGAAGAAAAAGUCAACCAAGGCACUCCCUACAGAUAAGGUUGGAAUAUCAGCCUCUACAUCUGAUUCCGAGGACGAAGCAGAUGAUGAGAUCAAGCCCAAGGAUGAAGAAGUUCUAGAAGAGGCUUAUGCUUCUAGCAGUAGUAAAGAAGUUCCAAAUUAUUCAGGUCCAAGGAAGAGUAAAAGAUCAAAAAGGAAGCGUGCAGUAUAAAGUGGUAAACCAAUUCUUUAGCUGUCAGUUUAACUUGUAUAUUUGACAAAUCUGUAUCUUAGUCAGUUGUAUAGUGUCCAUUUUCAUGCCGGUCAUCUAUUUAAGGGCUAUUUGCCAAAAGAUGAGAACAUGACAAGUAUGCAAAUGGUGAAUUCAUGUGCUUUCAAGUUUAAGCACCAGCUUAGCAAGCAAAAGCUAAAUCUACCAUAUUCCCUUCAUGCGUAGCAUGUGGGCUUUCUUGUAUCAAUUCUCCUGCAAACAAAAACCAUAGCUUCAGCCGACAAUAAGUGUGUUAGAUGAGAGGUUUAUCAAAGCCUGCAGUAUGAUGAUAACACGAUAGAAUCUUAAGCACUGGGCCAAAGGUUUCCUCUAUUCCUCAUUGGUUACCAUAAUCUUCACCCUGGACUCUGCAUCAAUGAUGCGUGCAUAUGGAAGUUGUUUUCUUUGCUUACAAGAUCGUUCUUCUGGUCAUGGCCUUGAUGGUGCGGGAUGAUUGCUAGUUGGGUUUGGCCCAGUGGUGGUGUAUGGACUUGUGUGUUGCCCUGCUUCACAACGGUUUGAUUAGAGACUACACGCAUAAACUAUAGCAGAAGAGAGACAACAUACUUUAGUUGGCAAUUUAGCUUGUAUAUUUGAUAAAUCUGUAUCUUAGUCUGUGUAUAGUGGCCAUUUUCAUGCCGGUCAGCUAUUUAAGGACUGUUUGCUAACUGAAGAAAGCCUGAUGAGUUGGCAAAUUUUUUUGGAUUUAUUCAGGCUCUUUCAAGUGUAACCACGAGCUUAGCUAAGAAAAGCUGAAUUAUACCAUAUUCUUUAAUGUGUA
RNA transcript from Nicotiana attenuata, 2277 nucleotides. It is a transcript of the gene named inner membrane protein PPF-1, chloroplastic, with no coding region annotated. The transcript has 12 exons. Lineage: Eukaryota; Viridiplantae; Streptophyta; Magnoliopsida; Solanales; Solanaceae. The record is from RefSeq and is a predicted model, not a curated record.